GCAUAACGCGAAGAACCUUACCAAGGCUUGACAUAUACGAGAACGGGCCAGAAAUGGUCAACUCUUUGGACACUCGUAAACAGGCGGUGCAUGGUUGUCGUCAGCUCGUGUCGUGAGAUGUUGGGUUAAGUCCCGCAACGAGCGCAACCCUCGUUCUAUGUUGCCAGCACGUUAUGGUGGGAACUCAUGGGAUACUGCCGGGGUCAACUCGGAGGAAGGUGGGGAUGACGUCAAAUCAUCAUGCCCCUUAUGUCUUGGGCUUCACGCAUGCUACAAUGGCCGGUACAAAGGGCUGCAAUACCGUGAGGUGGAGCGAAUCCCAAAAAGCCGGUCCCAGUUCGGAUUGAGGUCUGCAACUCGACCUCAUGAAGUCGGAGUCGCUAGUAAUCGCAGAUCAGCAACGCUGCGGUGAAUACGUUCCCGGGUCUUGUACACACCG
RNAcentral lists this ribosomal RNA (439 nucleotides) under uncultured bacterium. RNAcentral describes it as "bacterial SSU rRNA". It matches the Rfam family "Bacterial small subunit ribosomal RNA", at positions 954 to 1392 of the family's 1533-position model. The record is from RNAcentral.